CGAACGCGCGGCUGGAGGAGGGGCUCCUUCACAGAGGAAGAAAAUCCACUGCAAGUCGAGAAGAGGCGGACCUGAUGUACCACGACAUAAUUGAAUUUCAUGUCUUACGAACUCUGUGUAUUUGCCAGAAACUUUUGGGCUGUUCUCAUUCAAAAAAGGAUGAAAUCAUUUUGUGUGUUGAACAGUCCUUACACAUUCCCAGAAAAAAAAAAAAAAUUAUUUUUCAUGUAUAUAUACAAAGUGUAUCCAGCUAAAUCACAAGCAAAAGUGAUUUUAAGCAGGUACCAAGACACGCCGGAUCAUAAAGACGCUGUUCUCCCUUCAAGCUCCUUUGGUGAGUUUAUGGACACGCAUGAGGUAACUUUAAAAGGAGCAGUGUGCACUGGCAGACUUACUACUUCCAGAGGUGAAGGCCGCCGGCGCCUCCAGCUGUCAGAAAGAGCUCCCUGUUCUGCGGCAGGUGUCGGACCUGCCACACAGUGGAUUUAUGAGCCUAAACAGAACAAGAGGCACACAACUGGUUUAUAUGCUAAAUGGUGCCCUGGAAGAGAAACUCUGCAAAUAAAGAACUUUUACUACUAUAA
This is a long non-coding RNA of Chlorocebus sabaeus (green monkey), 584 nucleotides long. RefSeq lists it as uncharacterized. Lineage: Eukaryota; Metazoa; Chordata; Mammalia; Primates; Cercopithecidae. The record is from RefSeq and is a predicted model, not a curated record.